UGAACGUUGGCGGCGUGCCUAAUACAUGCAAGUCGAACGAGGACCCGGUAUUUAUAUCGGUGUUCCUAGUGGCGAACGGGUGAGUAACGCGUUGGUGAUCUGCCCCGGAGAGGGGGAUAACAGCUGGAAACGGCUGCUAAUACCCCAUAUGAUCAUAGGAGUUAGAGGUCCCAUGAUUAAAGGAGUAAUCCGCUUCGGGAGGAACCUGCGUCCCAUCAGCUAGUUGGUAGGGUAAUGGCCUACCAAGGCGACGACGGGUAGGGGACCUGAGAGGGUGGCCCCCCACACUGGAACUGAAACACGGUCCAGACACCUACGGGUGGCAGCAGUAGGGAAUAUUGCCCAAUGGACGAAAGUCUGAGGCAGCAACGCCGCGUGAGUGAUGACGGCCUUCGGGUUGUAAAACUCUUUUACGUGGGAAGAGAAAGGACGGUACCACGUGAAUAAGGAUCGGCUAACUAC
Molecule: ribosomal RNA, 462 nt
Filed under: uncultured bacterium
Lineage: Bacteria
Description: bacterial SSU rRNA
Rfam family: Bacterial small subunit ribosomal RNA
Source: RNAcentral